CAGCCGCCGCGGGAAUACGAAGGGGGCUAGCGUUGCUCGGAAUUACUGGGCGUAAAGGGCGCGUAGGCGGACAGUUAAGUCGGGGGUGAAAGCCCGGGGCUCAACCUCGGAAUUGCCUUCGAAACUGGCUGUCUUGAGUACGGGAGAGGUGAGUGGAACUCCGAGUGUAGAGGUGAGAUUCGUAGAUAUUCGGAAGAACACCAGUGGCGAAGGCGACUCACUGGCCCGUUACUGACGCUGAGGCGCGAAAGCGUGGGGAGCAAACAGGAUUAGAUACCCCCGUAGUCCCUGUCUCUUAUAA
RNAcentral lists this ribosomal RNA (301 nucleotides) under uncultured bacterium. RNAcentral's name for it is "partial 16S ribosomal RNA". It matches the Rfam family "Bacterial small subunit ribosomal RNA", at positions 509 to 809 of the family's 1533-position model. The record is from RNAcentral.